Small nucleolar RNA from Tachyglossus aculeatus (Australian echidna), 138 nucleotides. Lineage: Eukaryota; Metazoa; Chordata; Mammalia; Monotremata; Tachyglossidae. The record is from RefSeq and is a predicted model, not a curated record.
CCCCUCUCAGGGUCUCACCUGGGGAGUUUCCAGUACUCUACCAGUCUCGGUUAUAGGAGGGAGAGCCGAGCAGAAGCAUAUCCAUUCCAUUCCUAGCUUGGGCAGUGGCUAGCGAGUGAAAGGCAAUCUCCUACAAGC